Molecule: non-coding RNA, 72 nt
Organism: Coniochaeta pulveracea
Lineage: Eukaryota; Fungi; Ascomycota; Sordariomycetes; Coniochaetales; Coniochaetaceae
Source: the annotation of a GenBank genome assembly
GCCCCCGUGGCGCAAUGGUAGCGCGUCAGACUUCUAAUCUGAAGGUUGCGAGUUCGAGCCUCGCCGGGGGCU